UGGGGAAUCUUGCACAAUGGGCGGAAGCCUGAUGCAGCGACGCCGCGUGCGGGACGAAGGCCUUCGGGUCGUAAACCGCUUUCAGCAGGGACGAGGCCGCGAGGUGACGGUACCUGCAGAAGAAGCCCCGGCUAACUACGUGCCAGCAGCCGCGGUAAUACGUAGGGGGCGAGCGUUAUCCGGAUUCAUUGGGCGUAAAGCGCGCGUAGGCGGCCCGCUUGGUCGGGAGUAAAAUCCGGGGGCUCAACCCCCGCACGCUCCCGAUACCGGCGGGCUUGAGUCUGGCAGGGGAAGGCGGAAUUCCGAGUGUAGCGGUGGAAUGCGCAGAUAUUCGGAAGAACACCGGUGGCGAAGGCGGCCUUCUGGGCCACGACUGACGCCGAGGCGCGAAAGCUAGGGGAGCGAACAGGAUUAGAUACCCUGGUAGU
RNAcentral lists this ribosomal RNA (428 nucleotides) under uncultured Coriobacteriaceae bacterium. RNAcentral's name for it is "bacterial SSU rRNA". It matches the Rfam family "Bacterial small subunit ribosomal RNA", at positions 355 to 794 of the family's 1533-position model. The record is from RNAcentral. Lineage: Bacteria; Bacillati; Actinomycetota; Coriobacteriia; Coriobacteriales; Coriobacteriaceae.